GACAUCCAGAGAACUUGGCAGAGAUGCCUUGGUGCCUUCGGGAACUCUGAGACAGGUGCUGCAUGGCUGUCGUCAGCUCGUGUUGUGAAAUGUUGGGUUAAGUCCGCAACGAGCGCAACCCCUAUCCUUUGUUGCCAGCGAUUCGGUCGGGAACUCAAAGGAGACUGCCGGUGAUAAACCGGAGGAAGGUGGGGAUGACGUCAAGUCAUCAUGGCCCUUACGAGUAGGGCUACACACGUGCUACAAUGGCGUAUACAAAGAGAAGCGACCUCGCGAGAGCAAGCGGACCUCAUAAAGUACGUCGUAGUCCGGAUUGGAGUCUGCAACUCGACUCCAUGAAGUCGGAAUCGCUAGUAAUCGUAGAUCAGAAUGCUACGGUGAAUACGUUCCCGGGCCUUGUACACACCGCCCGUCACACCAUGGGAGUGGGUUGCAAAAGAAGUAGAUAGCUUAACCUUCGGGAGGGCGUUUACCACUUUGUGAUUCAUGACUGGGGUGAAGUCGUAACAAGGUAAGCGUAGCGAG
Molecule: ribosomal RNA, 525 nt
Filed under: uncultured bacterium
Lineage: Bacteria
Description: bacterial SSU rRNA
Rfam family: Bacterial small subunit ribosomal RNA
Source: RNAcentral